AACGAACGCUGGCGGCGCGCCUAAUACAUGCAAGUCGAGCGAGAAGACGUAGCAAUACGUUUGUAAAGCGGCGAACGGGUGAGGAAUACAUGGGUAACCUACCCUCGAGUGGGGAAUAACUAGCCGAAAGGUUAGCUAAUACCGCGUACGCUCCUUGGACUUCGGUUCAGGGAGGAAAGCGAUACCGUGGGUAUCGCGCUCAUGGAUGGGCUCAUGUCCUAUCAGCUUGUUGGNGAGGUAACGGCUCACCAAGGCUUCGACGGGUAGCUGGUCUGAGAGGACGAUCAGCCACACUGGCACUGCGACACGGGGCCAGGACUCCUACGGGAGGCAGCAGUAAGGAAUAUUGCGCAAUGGGCAAAGCCUGACGCAGCGACGCCGC
Molecule: ribosomal RNA, 382 nt
Filed under: uncultured bacterium
Lineage: Bacteria
Description: bacterial SSU rRNA
Rfam family: Bacterial small subunit ribosomal RNA
Source: RNAcentral